ACAAACUUGGUCAUUUAGAGGAAGUAAAAGUCGUAACAAGGUUUCCGUAGGUGAACCUGCGGAAGGAUCAUUACCGAUUUAGCGAACCUGGCUAUGUUGCCAUGGUUUCGCGAAAAUUUUGUAUUUAAAACCCCACUCUUCAAUUUAUUUGUUUACAUUAUGAAUCAUGUAAUAAUUAAAGAUCACUUUCAACAACGGAUCUCUUGGCUCUCUUAGAGGAAGUAAAAGUCGUAACAAGGUUUCCGUAGGUGAACCUGCGGAAGGAUCAUUACCGAUUUAGCGAACCUGGCUAUGUUGCCAUGGUUUCGCGAAAAUUUUGUAUUUAAAACCCCACUCUUCAAUUUAUUUGUUUACAUUAUGAAUCAUGUAAUAAUUAAAGAUCACUUUCAACAACGGAUCUCUUGGCUCUCGCAUCGAUGAAGAACGCAGC
Molecule: unclassified non-coding RNA, 430 nt
Filed under: uncultured fungus
Lineage: Eukaryota; Fungi
Description: partial contains small subunit ribosomal RNA, internal transcribed spacer 1, and 5.8S ribosomal RNA
Rfam family: Eukaryotic small subunit ribosomal RNA (bases 1-73)
Source: RNAcentral